AGCGUUAUCCGGAAUCAUUGGGCGUAAAGCGCCUGUAGGUUGUUUAAUAAGUCUGUUGUUAAAGACUAGGGCUCAACCCUAGAAAAGCAAUGGAAACUAUUAGACUAGAGUAUGGCAGGGGUAGAGGGAAUUUCUAGUGUAGCGGUGAAAUGCGUAGAUAUUAGAAAGAACACCAGCGGCGAAAGCGCUCUACUGGACCAUUACUGACACUCAGAGGCGAAAGCUAGGGUAGCAAAAGGGAUUAGAUACCCCUGUAGUCCUAGCCGUAAACGAUGGAUACUAGAUGUUGUGCUUCCGUACAGUAUCGUAGCUAACGCGUUAAGUAUCCCGCCUGGGGAGUACGCUUGCAAGGGUGAAACUCAAAGGAAUUGACGGGGGCCCGCACAAGCGGUGGAGCAUGUGGUUUAAUUCGAUGCAACGCGAAGAACCUUACCAGGGCUUGACAUACUACAGAUUCUUUAGAGAUAGAGAAGUGCCUCCGGGAAUGUAGAUACAGGUGGUGCAUGGCUGUCGUCAGCUCGUGUCGUGAGAUGUUGGGUUAAGUCCCGCAACGAGCGCAACCCUUAUUUUUAGUUACCAAUUCGUUGGGUUCUCUAGAAAGACUGCCGGUGACAAACCGGAGGAAGGUGAGGAUGACGUCAAGUCAGCAUGCCCCUUAUGUCCUGGGCUACACACGUGCUACAAUGGUUAAGACAAAGAGUUGCGAGCUCGCAAGAGUCAGCUAAUCUCAUAAACUUAGCCUAAGUUCAGAUUGUAGGCUGCAACU
RNAcentral lists this ribosomal RNA (766 nucleotides) under uncultured marine haptophyte. RNAcentral's name for it is "bacterial SSU rRNA". It matches the Rfam family "Bacterial small subunit ribosomal RNA", at positions 537 to 1312 of the family's 1533-position model. Lineage: Eukaryota; Haptophyta. The record is from RNAcentral.